AUGCGGAAGAAGUUCAGAAACCUUUUGGAUGAGUAUGAGCGGAUCCUCUGUUUUCAUUCUAGAAGCGUUUUUUCAGUAUCCGUUAUUGACGUGAAAUGUAGAAUAAUGUGAAUGUGAGAUAACGUUAGUGUUUUAAUUAUACUUCAAAAGAAGAAGCCGCAGUAUUUCAAGUAGUGAUUCAGGAAAAUAUUCGAAAUCGACUUACAGGGACUACCCGGAGAGCAGAUCGGAUGGAACCAGAAGAGUCUGCAGAUAUUCCCGUAACAGGUUUACAAAUAAUACAGGCAGUGCAAAAGUUUCUACCAAGGAUGUGGCCAGUGAGGUACGAGUAGUCAAUAAUUCAAAAGACUCUCUUCGUUCUCUGAACAGGUUGAGGUCAAGAUCCCGCUCAGUCAGUAUGAAAUCGACAUAUGAAUACUCCAACAACAGUAACAGAAGAAGCCGCAGUAACUCAAGUGGCGAUUCAGGAAAAUAUUCAAAAUCAAGCUGUAGUGACUAUUCGAAAAGUAGGUCGAGGUCUUAUUCAAAGGAUUCAAAUACAUAUGAUUACAAACAUGGUUCACAAAGAGAUUCCAAAAUUUCCCAGAAGAGAUCUAGAUCAACCUGCAUGAACUAUUCAAGAAGUAGGUCGAGGUCUCAUUCAGAAGAUUCAAAUACAUAUGAUCACAAACAUGGUUCACGAAGAGGUUCCAAAAAUUCUCAGAAGAGAUCUAGAUCAACCUGCAUGAACUAUUCAAGAAGUAGGUCGAGGUCUCAUUCAGAGGAUUCGAAUACAUUUGAUUACAAAGGUGGUUCCAAAAAUUCCUCGAGGAGAUCUGGACCAAGAUCUGGUGAUAAUGAGCCACUGUUUCACUCCGGAGUAGGUUCUCGUUCUCGUUCAGACAGCUUUUCUAGAUCCAAGUCAAGCAGAUCAAUGUCAAGAUCCCAGUCGAAGGAUUACUCAGAUUGUACGAAUUCUGGAGGCGAGUCAAGCAGCCAUUCCAAUCUUGAUUACAGAAAGUCAAGGUCUAGGUCCACUUCAAGAUCGAAAUCACCCAAUGGCUGCACCAAACGGUCUCGUUCUGAGUCAUAUUCUCCUGAAUGUGUGAAAAAGUCGAGAUAUAGGUCUAGAUCCUGAACUCCUAAUGGUGGAGCUUGAAAAUUAACAAUGAAAUAUCUCAUUUCGUUUUGAAAAAUGUUUAUUGCUUGUUUAAGAACUUACUCGAUUCUGUAAGUUAUUUUCAUGUUAACUUUCAAUCUGAGAGUUGCUUGCACAAAUUUUCGAAACUAGGAGAACAGUGAUGUAUUUGAUUCAAUAUUUUUUCUAGUUUUUUCCUUAUCCGAUAUUUAUAAUAACUAGUGAAUAUAUACAGUUUUGAUUUC
Molecule: unclassified non-coding RNA, 1362 nt
Filed under: Leptinotarsa decemlineata (Colorado potato beetle)
Lineage: Eukaryota; Metazoa; Arthropoda; Insecta; Coleoptera; Chrysomelidae
Description: serine/arginine-rich splicing factor 4-like, transcript variant X1
Source: RNAcentral